AAGAAUUAUCCAUGGAAAAUGAUUUACAUAUAUUAAAAUUAAAAUUUGAUUGAAGCAUAUAUCUAGGCAUUGGCUUUGGUGGAUGGAUGAGAGUUACUAUCAGAUAAUUGCUUUAAGUAGCUCAGAAGUGAUAUCUGCUUCAUUUUCUUCUGAAAUUCUUUUUGUAAUUGUUUAUAUGGAGCUAACAAACCUUCCAAACCCCAUUUUAAACUCCACUCUAUGCUGGGAUCAAUUUCAUGGAAAAAUUCUGCAAAAUUAUUUGCCAUUAGCAGUACUUUGUUUGUAGUAGAAGGAAUUAUAUUACUCUUUUUGUCUUUGUCCUCUUCUUCACUAAAUCUGAUUAGUUCCUCAAAUUCCUCUUCAGUCAACUCCUC
RNAcentral lists this long non-coding RNA (374 nucleotides) under Androctonus crassicauda. The record is from RNAcentral. Lineage: Eukaryota; Metazoa; Arthropoda; Arachnida; Scorpiones; Buthidae.